ACCGCUCUGCUCUGAGCAAAAUUCUCAGUUCAGUAAGGAAUAGAUGGGCCUGUAGCCCAGGUGUAAAACUAGGGACCACUCUGCUCUGAGCAAAAUUCACAGUUCAAUAAGGAAUAAGUGCGCCUGUAGCCCAGGUGUAAAACUAGGGACCACUCUGCUCUGAGCAAAAUUCGCAGUUCAGUAAGGAAUAGAUGGGCCUGUAGCCCAGGUGUAAAA
Sphaerodactylus townsendi is the source of this 216-nucleotide long non-coding RNA. RefSeq lists it as uncharacterized. The transcript has 3 exons. The record is from RefSeq and is a predicted model, not a curated record. Lineage: Eukaryota; Metazoa; Chordata; Lepidosauria; Squamata; Sphaerodactylidae.